UGCUUUCAAUAUAAUAAUUUAUUUAUUUAGAUUUCUAUAAAUAGUAUCUAGAAAAUAUUGAUUGCAUUUAUAAUUUUAAUUGCAAUUAUAUAUUUUAAGUGAAAAUCUGCAAAUAUGAUCAAAAAAUGUUCAUGAUAAAUUUGUUGCCAAAACACUUUUCUGAUAACUGUAGUUUGAGCAAUUAGGUUUUAUUUUUUUAUGUUCUUGUUUCUACUGUAAAGAUACACGGGUAUCCAUAUGUAUUUUAUAUAAAAAGUCAAUGAUAAAAAUCAAAAUUUGUAUGUGCAAAAUUUGUACAGUGUACUAUAAAAAUACGAAAAUUUAGAACUGUUCCAAUUCUACCAUUUUCAUAUAAAUUUUUAUAGCAUUUCUUAAAUUUGUGUAAAAUUUUGUAGAAUUUUUUUCGCCAAAGUUAUUACAUAAUAUAUUGUAUUGAAAACGAUCCGAAUGACAGAACCGAAACGUUUACAUUGUAACUUUAACUAAUAGUAUAUAUAUAUAUAUAUAUAUAUAUAUAUAUAUAUAUAUAUAUAUGUAUAUAUGUAUAUAUACUGUAAGAUCUCAGAGAAGAGAAAGAUUGUAAGAGUAUUGAUAUGUGAACGGAAAACAUUAGGGAAAUAGUGGAACCGUAGUCUAGCAGUGAGAGUGCUAGUUAUUGGAACGAAGGAUUCCGAGUUCAAAUCUGACUAGCUCCUUUAUUUUUCCGUCACUUACCUCUUUUCACCAUUCUAAUAGAAGAUUCUUACAUAUACUUGGAUACACACACGAACAGUAUUGCCAUUAACUUUUGUAUAGAGAAGACCGGAACUAUUUAAAACAUUUUGUUUUGCAUCUCCUUAGUCCUGUAUUCAUAUAAAAAAAAUUUGUUAGAUGGUUGAAUGAUUUAAGAGGUUGAAACCUUACGUUUUACAAUGCCGUUAAAAUAUGGAAUUGUACUUGCUUUGAACUACAUAUAAAAAUGUCGAUCAGUGCGAAAUGUUCCGGACUUGUUUCAAAUAGUCCCACGUCCAGGAUAAUUUGAAACAAGUCAGGAACUAUUCUACAAUUUGUUUUAAGUUUAAAACAUGCAUAAAAAAGGGUUUUUAAGGUUUUAUUUUAUUAAAAAGAGGAUAUAUUAUGUUAUUAAAGAAAGUGAAAUACAAUAAAAAAAAUCUAACACACAAUAGAAAAUUUUAUUACUUUAGCGUUUUUGGAACAAAUCAGGGACAUUCGUAUUUCGCUUAAUUAUAUCAGCUGUUGAGUAUUAAUUGUGUAUUUUGAUACAUAGAACGUGAAAGAAAAAAUUGGUUUUAAACAGGUAAAAAAUUAUAAAACCUUAAAAAUUGAUAUUUGUAGGAUUAGGAAAUCUCAUACUGAUCGCAUAGAGCGAUAAGAGAACGGGUGAGGUUAUAAUAAAAAAAAGAGAAAAACAGUAUAUAUCCUCACUUACAUGUUCUCAUAUCCUUUUAUGUCAUUGGUGUGAUAGAUUUUCUAGUAAUUAUUUAGAAUACGUUCCUCACCUCCAAUUUUGAUAAAAUUAGACUUAUUUGACACGAUUUUGUACGAACAAGAAAAUCACCAAGUAUUACACUCCGAUUUUGAUGAGCUUUGAAUAUGAUAUAUUUUAGGUCAAAAUAAGAGACACAUAUUUUUUUAUACGGACCCAUACGCAUUUUUUAGGGAGUAAAACACUCCUUUGAAAAAAAUUGGUUUUUUUCUUUCGAAGCAUAUAUCGUCGAAACUAUAGGAGAUAGAAAAAAAUGUUCUAAUUAAAAGUUCAAAGGCUUGAAAAAUAUUUUAUAAAGUGAUAAAAAAUGUUUCUAUCUAUUUUUUUUACUUUCCUUUACUUACCUAUUUUCCACCACUUAUCUAUUUUUUCAAAAUUUUUAUUUUUUUAUAUACGCAAAAUAAAACUUAUUUUAUUACGACUUUAACGAUAUAUGAUGAAGUUAUGUUCCGACAUUCCCAUGUUUCAAAAAUAAUUAAAAAUUCCUCUACGCGCAUGGUACGCGCACGUUUGUGUGCUACGGAAGUGCUCCCCUCCGAUUUUGACGAGCCUUUAAUAUGUUGUAGUACAGAUAAAAAUAUGGCACACGUAUUUUUAUAUAUGGUCCAUAUGACUGUUAAGAAGGUAAAACCCGCUCUUGAAAUAAAUUGAUUUUUUAAUUUCUGAGAUAAUACCGUCGAAACGGUAAAAGAUAUAAACAAAAAUUCAAAUAAAAGUUUUAUGGCUAUUUGUAUAUUUUAUAGUACAUUAUAGUAUAUUACUUAUAGAGAAACCUCUUAAAUGCGAGACACCUGUAAAUUUUUGUUUUAAAAAUUGUGAUCCUUUUUGUGACUCCUGUUAUGAUAUAGCAGUUUUUAAAUGUGAUUGGUACAAAAUGAAAGUGUAUACGGCAUUUUUUUGACACCACAAAUUCUGGGCAUUUUCAUUAUUCUAUAGAUUUCCAGCAAUAAAAAAAAUAACUUAAAAA
Long non-coding RNA from Solenopsis invicta (red fire ant), 2453 nucleotides. RefSeq lists it as uncharacterized. The record is from RefSeq and is a predicted model, not a curated record. Lineage: Eukaryota; Metazoa; Arthropoda; Insecta; Hymenoptera; Formicidae. The transcript is spliced from 2 exons.